GCUGGGUGUGGUGGUGUAUGCCUGUAAUCCCAGCAACUCAGGAGGUUGAGGCAGGAAGAUCCGAAGUUUGAGGCCAGCCUCAG
Molecule: small RNA, 83 nt
Filed under: Marmota monax (woodchuck)
Lineage: Eukaryota; Metazoa; Chordata; Mammalia; Rodentia; Sciuridae
Source: RNAcentral